CAUGCCCCUUAUGCUUAGGGCUACACACGUGCUACAAUGGGUAGUACAGAGGGUUGCCAAGCCGUAAGGUGGAGCUAAUCCCUUAAAGCUACUCUCAGUUCGGAUUGUAGGCUGAAACUCGCCUACAUGAAGCUGGAGUUACUAGUAAUCGCAGAUCAGAAUGCUGCGGUGAAUACGUUCCCGGGUCUUGUACACACCGCCCGUCACACCACGGGAGUUGGAGACGCCCGAAGCCGAUUAUCUAACCUUUUGGAAGAAAUCGUCGAAGGUGGAAUCAAUAACUGGGGUGAAGUCGUAACAAGGUAGCCGUAUCGGAAGGUGCGGCUGGAUCACCUCCUUUCUAAGGAGA
This 349-nucleotide ribosomal RNA is filed under the name Clostridioides difficile. Its description in RNAcentral is "bacterial SSU rRNA". It matches the Rfam family "Bacterial small subunit ribosomal RNA", at positions 1194 to 1533 of the family's 1533-position model. The record is from RNAcentral. Lineage: Bacteria; Bacillati; Bacillota; Clostridia; Peptostreptococcales; Peptostreptococcaceae.